This 2804-nucleotide ribosomal RNA is filed under the name Pectobacterium brasiliense. Its description in RNAcentral is "bacterial LSU rRNA". It matches the Rfam family "Bacterial large subunit ribosomal RNA". Lineage: Bacteria; Pseudomonadati; Pseudomonadota; Gammaproteobacteria; Enterobacterales; Pectobacteriaceae. The record is from RNAcentral.
GGGUUGUGAGGUUAAGCGACUAAGCGUACACGGUGGAUGCCUAGGCAGUCAGAGGCGAUGAAGGGCGUGCUAAUCUGCGAUAAGCGUCGGUAAGCUGAUAUGAAGCGUUAUACCCGACGAUACCCGAAUGGGGAAACCCAGUGUGUUUCGACACACUAUCAUGACAUGAAUACAUAGUGUCAUGAGGCGAACCGGGGGAACUGAAACAUCUCAGUACCCCGAGGAAAAGAAAUCAACCGAGAUUCCCCCAGUAGCGGCGAGCGAACGGGGAGGAGCCCAGAACCUGAAUCAGUUUGUGUGUUAGUGGAAGCGUCUGGAAAGUCGCACAGUAAAGGGUGAUAGUCCCGUACACAAAAAUGCACAGAUUGUGAGUUCGAUGAGUAGGGCGGGACACGUGACAUCCUGUCUGAAUAUGGGGGGACCAUCCUCCAAGGCUAAAUACUCCUGACUGACCGAUAGUGAACCAGUACCGUGAGGGAAAGGCGAAAAGAACCCCGGCGAGGGGAGUGAAAUAGAACCUGAAACCGUGUACGUACAAGCAGUGGGAGCCUACUUGUUAGGUGACUGCGUACCUUUUGUAUAAUGGGUCAGCGACUUAUAUUCUGUAGCAAGGUUAACCGUAUAGGGGAGCCGCAGGGAAACCGAGUCUUAACUGGGCGUUAAGUUGCAGGGUAUAGACCCGAAACCCGGUGAUCUAGCCAUGGGCAGGUUGAAGGUUGGGUAACACUAACUGGAGGACCGAACCGACUAAUGUUGAAAAAUUAGCGGAUGACUUGUGGCUGGGGGUGAAAGGCCAAUCAAACCGGGAGAUAGCUGGUUCUCCCCGAAAGCUAUUUAGGUAGCGCCUCGUGAAUUCAUCUUCGGGGGUAGAGCACUGUUUCGGCUAGGGGGUCAUCCCGACUUACCAACCCGAUGCAAACUACGAAUACCGAAGAAUGUUAUCACGGGAGACACACGGCGGGUGCUAACGUUCGUCGUGAAGAGGGAAACAACCCAGACCGCCAGCUAAGGUCCCAAAGUCAUGGUUAAGUGGGAAACGAUGUGGGAAGGCAUAGACAGCCAGGAUGUUGGCUUAGAAGCAGCCAUCAUUUAAAGAAAGCGUAAUAGCUCACUGGUCGAGUCGGCCUGCGCGGAAGAUGUAACGGGGCUAAACCAUGCACCGAAGCUGCGGCAGCGACACUUAGGUGUUGUUGGGUAGGGGAGCGUUCUGUAAGCCUGCGAAGGUGGCCUGUGAGGGCUGCUGGAGGUAUCAGAAGUGCGAAUGCUGACAUAAGUAACGAUAAUGCGGGUGAAAAACCCGCACGCCGGAAGACCAAGGGUUCCUGUCCAACGUUAAUCGGGGCAGGGUGAGUCGACCCCUAAGGCGAGGCUGAAAAGCGUAGUCGAUGGGAAACAGGUUAAUAUUCCUGUACUCGGUGUUACUGCGAAGGGGGGACGGAGAAAGCUAGGUUAUCCGGGCGACGGUUGUCCCGGUUUAAGCGUGAAGGUGGGUGACUUUGGUAAAUCCGGGUCAUCGUUAACACUGAGGCGUGAUGACGAGUCACUACGGUGAUGAAGUAACCGAUGCUACGCUUCCAGGAAAAGCCUCUAAGCUCCAGGUAACAUCAAAUCGUACCCCAAACCGACACAGGUGGUCAGGUAGAGAAUACUCAGGCGCUUGAGAGAACUCGGGUGAAGGAACUAGGCAAAAUGGUGCCGUAACUUCGGGAGAAGGCACGCUGAUGGUAGGUGAAGUGACUUGCUCAUGGAGCUGAAAUCAGUCGAAGAUACCAGCUGGCUGCAACUGUUUAAUAAAAACACAGCACUGUGCAAACACGAAAGUGGACGUAUACGGUGUGACGCCUGCCCGGUGCCGGAAGGUUAAUUGAUGGGGUCAGCCGCAAGGCGAAGCUCUUGAUCGAAGCCCCGGUAAACGGCGGCCGUAACUAUAACGGUCCUAAGGUAGCGAAAUUCCUUGUCGGGUAAGUUCCGACCUGCACGAAUGGCGUAAUGAUGGCCAGGCUGUCUCCACCCGAGACUCAGUGAAAUUGAACUCGCUGUGAAGAUGCAGUGUACCCGCGGCAAGACGGAAAGACCCCGUGAACCUUUACUAUAGCUUGACACUGAACCUUGAGCCUUGAUGUGUAGGAUAGGUGGGAGGCUUUGAAGCGUGGACGCCAGUCUGCGUGGAGCCAACCUUGAAAUACCACCCUUUAAUGUUUGAUGUUCUAACGUGGACCCGUGAUCCGGGUUGCGGACAGUGUCUGGUGGGUAGUUUGACUGGGGCGGUCUCCUCCCAAAGCGUAACGGAGGAGCACGAAGGUUAGCUAAUCCUGGUCGGACAUCAGGAGGUUAGUGCAAAGGCAUAAGCUAGCUUGACUGCGAGAGUGACAGCUCGAGCAGGUGCGAAAGCAGGUCUUAGUGAUCCGGUGGUUCUGAAUGGAAGGGCCAUCGCUCAACGGAUAAAAGGUACUCCGGGGAUAACAGGCUGAUACCGCCCAAGAGUUCAUAUCGACGGCGGUGUUUGGCACCUCGAUGUCGGCUCAUCACAUCCUGGGGCUGAAGUAGGUCCCAAGGGUAUGGCUGUUCGCCAUUUAAAGUGGUACGCGAGCUGGGUUUAGAACGUCGUGAGACAGUUCGGUCCCUAUCUGCCGUGGGCGUUGGAAGAUUGAGAGGGGUUGCUCCUAGUACGAGAGGACCGGAGUGAACGCACCACUGGUGUACGGGUUGUGAUGCCAAUUGCAUUGCCCGGUAGCUAAGUGCGGAAGAGAUAACCGCUGAAAGCAUCUAAGCGGGAAACUUGCCUCGAGAUGAGUCUUCCCUGG